This 465-nucleotide ribosomal RNA is filed under the name uncultured bacterium. RNAcentral's name for it is "bacterial SSU rRNA". It matches the Rfam family "Bacterial small subunit ribosomal RNA", at positions 330 to 793 of the family's 1533-position model. The record is from RNAcentral.
CCCAGACUCCUACGGGAGGCAGCAGUGAGGAAUAUUGGUCAAUGGGCGCGAGCCUGAACCAGCCAAGUCGCGUGAGGGAAGACGGUCCUAUGGAUUGUAAACCUCUUUUGUCGGGGAGCAAAAGACGCCACGUGUGGCGUUCCGAGAGUACCCGAAGAAAAAGCAUCGGCUAACUCCGUGCCAGCAGCCGCGGUAAUACGGAGGAUGCGAGCGUUAUCCGGAUUUAUUGGGUUUAAAGGGUGCGUAGGCGGGACGGUAAGUCAGCGGUAAAAAUGCGGAGCUCAACUCCGUCGAGCCGUUGAAACUGCCGUUCUUGAGUGAGCGAGAAGUAUGCGGAAUGCGUGGUGUAGCGGUGAAAUGCAUAGAUAUCACGCAGAACUCCGAUUGCGAAGGCAGCAUGCCGGCUCCACACUGACGCUGAGGCACGAAAGCGUGGGUAUCGAACAGGAUUAGAUACCCCCGUAU